UUACGGAGGGUCCGAGCGUUAAUCGGAAUUACUGGGCGUAAAGCGCGCGUAGGUGGAUGUAUAAGUCAGAUGUGAAAGCCCCGGGCUCAACCUAGGAACUGCAUUUGAAACUGUACGUCUAGAGUAUGGUAGAGGUGAGUGGAAUUUCAGGUGCAGCGGUGAAAUGCGUAGAGAUCUGAAGGAACAUCAGUGGCGAAGGCGACUCACUGGGCCAUUACUGACACUGAGGUGCGAAAGCGUGGGUAGCAAACAGGAUUAGAUACCCUAGUAGUCC
RNAcentral lists this ribosomal RNA (274 nucleotides) under uncultured bacterium. RNAcentral describes it as "partial 16S ribosomal RNA". It matches the Rfam family "Bacterial small subunit ribosomal RNA", at positions 523 to 796 of the family's 1533-position model. The record is from RNAcentral.